RNAcentral lists this ribosomal RNA (544 nucleotides) under Paguristes wassi. RNAcentral describes it as "partial small subunit ribosomal RNA". The record is from RNAcentral. Lineage: Eukaryota; Metazoa; Arthropoda; Malacostraca; Decapoda; Diogenidae.
UUAACAUGAUAAGUCGACCGCCUGGGGAGUACUGCAAUCACGGUUAAAACUCAAAUAAGUUGACGGGGGACUCCACAAACGGUGGAGCAAUGUGGUUUAAUUUUUGUCAUCACGAGGAACCUUACCAAACCUACACAUAUUAUGAAUUUGAAACCAGGGUUAGAUACCCCAGUAUACUUAUUCUUAAAUUUUAAAUCUAGAUUAUUAGUAGAUAUAUUCUUGAAAAUCAAAGAAUUUGGCGGUAUCUUAAUCUUAUUAGAGGAACCUGUUUUAUAAACGAUAAACCACGAAAAAUCUUAUUUGUUUUAAAUAGUUUGUAUACCGUCAUUAUUAGAUAAUUUUGGAAAAAUUAAUUAUUGGAAUUAAAUCUAAAAGUUUUAAAUAUAUUAGAUCAAGGUGCAGCUUAUAAACAAGAAAAGAAUGGGUUACAAUAAAUUAAUUUAAAUGGAAGAUAUUCUUAAAUGAGUUUCUGAAGGCGGAUUUAAUUGUAUAUUUAAAUYKWAUAUGAKAAAUASARRUYGGCUCUAAGAUAUGUACAUAUCGC